GUGCACCAGUCGAGAAUUUUUCUCAAUGGGGGAAACCCUGAAGGAGCGACGCCGCGUGGAGGAUGAAGGUCUUCGGGUUGUAAACUCCUGUCAUUUGGGAACAAGUCGCUUACGUUAACUGCGUGAGCGUUGAUAGUACCAGAAGAGGAAGAGACGGCUAACUCUGUGCCAGCAGCCGCGGUAAUACAGAGGUCUCAAGCGUUGUUCGGAUUCAUUGGGCGUAAAGGGUGUGUAGGUGGCGCCGUAAGUCGGGUGUGAAAUCUCGGGGCUUAACUCCGAAACUGCAUUCGAUACUGCGGUGCUUGAGGACUGGAGAGGAGACUGGAAUUCAUGGUGUAGCAGUGAAAUGCGUAGAGAUCAUGAGGAAGACCAGUGGCGAAGGCGGGUCUCUGGACAGUUCCUGACACCGAGACACGAAGGCCAGGGGAGCAAACGGGAUUAGAUACCCGCGUAGU
Molecule: ribosomal RNA, 455 nt
Filed under: uncultured organism
Description: bacterial SSU rRNA
Rfam family: Bacterial small subunit ribosomal RNA
Source: RNAcentral